Molecule: long non-coding RNA, 236 nt
Organism: Pistacia vera
Lineage: Eukaryota; Viridiplantae; Streptophyta; Magnoliopsida; Sapindales; Anacardiaceae
Exons: 3
Source: RefSeq, a predicted model, not a curated record
GGUGCCUGUGUUUGAGCAAUGUGUGUGACAAUAUAGUGGGCAUUGCUUAUGCAAUGUAUCUGUUGGAUAAUGUUCAGAAGGAUUAUGAUCUUUCUAUUUUAAGGGGGAUCUCCUAGAAAGUACUACAGUGGGAGACAUGGCCACAAACCUGCAUACUUCGUCCCGGAUUCAAUGUCAGUUUGGAAUCUUCUCGGAGAGUUCUGCAUUAGGAAGGUUAACAUGGUUGUUGUUCUAAA